RNAcentral lists this ribosomal RNA (593 nucleotides) under Klebsiella pneumoniae. Its description in RNAcentral is "partial 23S ribosomal RNA". It matches the Rfam family "Bacterial large subunit ribosomal RNA", at positions 231 to 867 of the family's 2925-position model. Lineage: Bacteria; Pseudomonadati; Pseudomonadota; Gammaproteobacteria; Enterobacterales; Enterobacteriaceae. The record is from RNAcentral.
GAGAUUCCCCCAGUAGCGGCGAGCGAACGGGGAGCAGCCCAGAGUCUGAAUCAGCUUGUGUGUUAGUGGAACGGUCUGGAAAGUCCGACGGUACAGGGUGAUAGUCCCGUACACCAAAAUGCACAGGCUGUGAACUCGAAGAGUAGGGCGGGACACGUGGUAUCCUGUCUGAAUAUGGGGGGACCAUCCUCCAAGGCUAAAUACUCCUGACUGACCGAUAGUGAACCAGUACCGUGAGGGAAAGGCGAAAAGAACCCCGGCGAGGGGAGUGAAAAAGAACCUGAAACCGUGUACGUACAAGCAGUGGGAGCACCUUCGGGUGUGACUGCGUACCUUUUGUAUAAUGGGUCAGCGACUUAUAUUCUGUAGCAAGGUUAACCGUAUAGGGGAGCCGCAGGGAAACCGAGUCUUAACUGGGCGUUAAGUUGCAGGGUAUAGACCCGAAACCCGGUGAUCUAGCCAUGGGCAGGUUGAAGGUUGGGUAACACUAACUGGAGGACCGAACCGACUAAUGUUGAAAAAUUAGCGGAUGACUUGUGGCUGGGGGUGAAAGGCCAAUCAAACCGGGAGAUAGCUGGUUCUCCCCGAAAGCU